Molecule: long non-coding RNA, 320 nt
Organism: Oncorhynchus tshawytscha (Chinook salmon)
Lineage: Eukaryota; Metazoa; Chordata; Actinopteri; Salmoniformes; Salmonidae
Source: Ensembl
AUAAAAACAGGCAAGUUUGCGGGCUCCUCCGCUGUGUUCUGGUCCUUCACGAACUCGGACAGGUGGGAAUACACCAAACGCUCAGAUGAAACUCCGAGACAUUCGAAGAAAGUGUGUGCCAAUGAAAACUCCACCUGGCCAUGCUGCUGCUCUAGUUUCAACUGUUCUGCCUGCGGCUAUGGAACCCUGACCUGUUCACCGGACGUGCUACCUGUCCCAGACCUGCUGUUUUCAACUCUCUUGAGACAGCAGGAGCGGUAGAGAUACUCUCAAUGAUUGGCUAUGAAAAGCCAACUGACAUUUACUCCUGAGGUGCUGAC